ACCNGUCAUCCGAAGCAUCUGNUUUAAAGUUUGAUCAUGGCUCACAGUGAACGUAGGCGGUAGGCCUAACACAUGCAAGUCGAACGGCAGCACAGUAAGAGCUUGCUCUUACGGGUGGCGAGUGGCGGACGGGUGAGGAAUACAUCGGAAUCUAUUCUGUCGUGGGGGAUAACGUAGGGAAACUUACGCUAAUACCGCAUACGACCUACGGGUGAAAGCAGUGGGAUCUUCGGACCUUGCGCGAUUGAAUGAGCCAAUGUCGGAUUAGCUAGUUGGCGGGGUAAAGGCCCACCAAGGCGACGAUCCGUAGCUGGUCUGAGAGGAUGAUCAGCCACACUGGAACUGAGACACGGUCCAGACUCCUACGGGAGGCAGCAGUGGGGAAUAUUGGACAAUGGGCGCAAGCCUGAUCCAGCCAUACCGCGUGGGUGAAGAAGGCCUUCGGGUUGUAAAGCCCUUUUGUUGGGAAAGAAAUCCGGCCGGCUAAUACCUGGUUGGGAUGACGGUACCCAAAGAAUAAGCACCGGCUAACUUCGUGCCAGCAGCCGCGGUAAUACGAAGGGUGCAAGCGUUACUCGGAAUUACUGGGCGUAAAGCGUGCGUAAGUGGUUAUUUAAGUCCGUUGUGAAAAGC
RNAcentral lists this ribosomal RNA (633 nucleotides) under uncultured bacterium. RNAcentral describes it as "bacterial SSU rRNA". It matches the Rfam family "Bacterial small subunit ribosomal RNA", at positions 1 to 602 of the family's 1533-position model. The record is from RNAcentral.